AGGGCUGUGCUAUUUUCAAGACCUGAACCAAUACUGUGAUACUCUGAAACUGGAAUAUACCAUCUUGUGCACUGCAGCUCUGGUUUUGUGAAUGGUUUUUGCAUGAGGUUAAUGUGAUCGCAGACAACCUUGGCCUGGGCUGGCUAAGAAAUUAGGCAAAAUUUUGUGGAUUGCUCACUUGAAUAUACACUCUUGCAUAUUAAUGUUUGAUCCAUAUAUGUUAAUAACAUUUAAUUAAAACUAAUUUACUUGAAAUUUUGUGUAAUUUGCUGUACAGUGACCUUCUGGAGAACUUGUGCAUCUUGCUGUUUAUUCUGAAGUCCUUACUUUCUUAGCUAUCAUGUUACUUUAGCUUGCAAACUGAGAUCAGUAUAUAUAAAUCUAGAAGGUACAGGCUGUUGUCUUAUGAUAUCAUGAACCUCAAAACAAAGCAGGAUACAGGAGUGUUGUUAUUUAGUUUUACAGUAUGUUGUUUGAAGUCUUGUAUUAUAAACAGUAUAUUCUCAUUUGACUACACAGUAUCCACUCAUCAAUCAAAAUUCAGGUGGUGUAAGCAUAAAGCUUAGUGAUUUUGCUGUUUCAUAAUACUGAAUAUUAUGAUGCUAGUUAUCUUGUGUAAUCAAAAGUAGCACAUGCCUCUCUUAACUAGGUCUCAAUUGUUUCAAACUCCAGAAGCUCAGUAAUUCUUGCARUUUGUUUUUCUCCUUUGUAGUUAUGGCUAGAUAAGAAUGCUCUUCCCAGCUAGCACUGGCACAAUUCCCAUAAAACAGAUCAUUGAGAAGUAUGCUCCAAAUACGUCCUGUGAUUCAGAUCCUGGAGCAGACGUCUCAGCUGAUUUCUGGGACAAAGCCUGUGCAAGUAGUAGUAUUGUGCAUCAUGUUUUAGAAGGAAACCAGUAUGUUCAGGUAAGAAAAGUGAGGUGCUCUUCCACAGCAUUGGGUGAUCAAGAGAUCAGAGCUGUAGGAUGCACCUCAGAGCAUGUGGCAUGGAGAUAUGGAUAAAAUUGUUAGUGAGACGUAUAUGUGCAGGGA
This 1031-nucleotide long non-coding RNA is filed under the name Apteryx rowi (Okarito brown kiwi). Its description in RNAcentral is "lncRNA (ENSARWG00000008739.1)". Lineage: Eukaryota; Metazoa; Chordata; Aves; Apterygiformes; Apterygidae. The record is from RNAcentral.